UACGAAGGGUCCAAGCGUUCUCCGGAUUUAUUGGGUUUAAAGGGUGCGUAGGCGGCUUAUUAAGUCAGUGGUGAAAGCCUGCAGCUUAACUGCAGAACUGCCAUUGAUACUGAUGAGCUUGAGUAUAGUUGAGGUGGGCGGAAUGUGUCAUGUAGCGGUGAAAUGCUUAGAUAUGACACAGAACACCGAUUGCGAAGGCAGCUCGCUAAACUAUAACUGACGCUGAGGCACGAAAGCGUGGGGAGCGAACAGG
Molecule: ribosomal RNA, 253 nt
Filed under: uncultured bacterium
Lineage: Bacteria
Description: partial 16S ribosomal RNA
Rfam family: Bacterial small subunit ribosomal RNA
Source: RNAcentral